CCGGAGUAGGGCGCGAAGUAGGGGCGCGGGGUGAGCGGGGGCGCGGGCCUGCGCGUGUCCACGUCGAGCAUGAUGAUGACGAUCAGGAUCCAGGGCAGGAGGAUGAAGAAGCGGCUGAACAGCACAGACUUCAUGUUCCUGACAGUCGGCUGCCACCGGAAUGAUUUCGUUUGACCCUCUCGGCGAUCCUUUCGAUGAGGCCUGGGAAGUAGAAUCACCUUCAUUUUCUGGAUGAGGAAGCUGGGACUCAGAGUUGGCAAUGAUCUCGCCGAGGUCAGUGGCGAUGGCCCAGCGGAAAGGAGACGUAGGUGCCCGGAGUCUAGCCGGUGGCUUCGGCCUGCAAAAGCCACUCUCAGCACAGCCCCCCGGCGGGCGGCCCUCCUGGCGGUAAACAAGGUGCAUUCAGAACCAAACGGAGUGCUCGGUGACAUGUGGAACCAUGACAGCGUCUGGAAGACGCGAGUAGACGCAGGCUCUUGGUUUGGGUGUUUGCUAUCUAGCGGACCCGCUGGCUGAGCCUCUGGCUGCCUGCGAUGGGGCAGAUGAAAGCGGGAUCGCGCUCCCUGGGCACGUGCAAGGGAGGUGCUCGCAGAGCGGCAGCAAAGACUUUCCCCAGCCUGUGAUAAAUAAUUUCUGAGCCCAUCUUCCCUCGCUGUCUGUCUUCCUCAGUCGUCUUCACAAAUAAACCCCGGCGAUCGCGCUCUGAGUGUCGGCACGGGGAAUGAAUGCUCUGGGACCGAUGCUCGCGUGUCCAGCGGCUCUGAGGCUCCUGGUUUCUCAGCUCUGUCCUGGCUGCUCCAGCCUGGCGUCCGGUCUUGGCGCGUCCUGAAUUUCCCUUAUUUACAGCCCAGAGUCUGAAGCCCGAGAGUGAAAUGUAUAAUAAUAACCCCACACGCCGCCCUCACUAGGGAUCACCUCUUCCACCUUCCAGUAUCAGCUACUAGCUCAUACUUUAAAUCACAAUUUAGAUCAGUGCCUCCAAACAUAGGAAACAAUGAAUCCAUCAGAAUCCUUCCUAUGGUCGCCGAUAGCUUAGCGGGCAAGUCAGGCCCCGGGGUGCGCCUGGGGAAGUCAGGGUCAGCAUUUUGGGGGAGGCAAGGGAGGACGGUUGGGGAGGGAAUUCGGUGGAGGCGUUUCUCGAAGCAGCACACACACCUGCCCACCCUGCAAAGAUGACUGAAGUCUCUUUCAUCCUGUUGGAAUUUUUACACGUAGUUGAAGAGAAAUGCCUCGUGUGUUAACUGAGUAAAACUGAAGUGGUCACAGAAUUGAACUUAAAAGCAUCACUAAACUUCAUGAGUAGGGACCUUGGUUAUUCCCUCUCAACCUUGAAACCUAUUUCCUGAUUGCUUCUUUUCCAGCAACCAGGACUGCUCAGAGAAGAAACACUUGCAAAAUCAUCACCUUUUGGAAUUUAUUUUGAGAUUUUGACUGGGGCCCAGGAUUCACAGAUGUCAUACAACACAACCCUUAACCAGCACACAGGAGGUCUGUGCAUCUUUUCUGUUAUCCUUAGUCAGCAUUUCCCCCAGGUGUACAUCACUCACUCAUCUGCUGGGAACAUGAUGGUUCUUGGAGUAGACCCGGGUUUUAUCCCCAGCUGGGUUGGUUGGGCAACUUUAGAAAGUCAAUGAGCUUUUCAGAGUCUGUGUCCUCAUCUGGAAAAAAAUGGACUUAAUAGAACACACUCCAUCAAAAUCUUGUAAGGAUUAAAUAGGAUAUGUUAGGUAAAAUAUUUUGCAGAGCAGCUGGCAACAUAUAAGUAGUCAGUAAAUGCUAUUUAAAUACAGGUUAACACUUUCUCAAAGGAAUAUCUUACACCAGGGGAUCUAGGUGAUCAUCAUAACAAUGCCUCAAAAUAGGGCCCCACCUGAGGAGAUAUUAAUGUGUGUGGUAGAGCCUUCUCCAGUUGGGGUAGAGAGGGGAAGAAAGAGGAAGUGAACUCCUAGUACACGAUGCCCCUAUCACACGGUAAGGAUGACAUGAUUCCAAGUGACAUUUAUCUCAAGUGGCUGAAAAUGCCAUUCAGUGACUCAAAAAAUGUGGACCUACAUCUUUCAUGAUCAAAUGUUGGCAAAGAUACAAAGAUAUAAAAAUGAAGAAUGUCCAUUUGAAGCCAAAAAUCAGGAUAGAAUACUACUAAGUGCAAAAAUAUAUUAUGCUUUAAAAAUAUUGAGAGAAUUUAUCAGGGCACCAGAAUGGAAACAGCUUCUUUAAAUGCAAGCAUGAACAAAAUAUUUUUCUGAAGCAUAAUCACUGAUAGCUAUGGUACGUUCCCAUAAUGUUUAUGAUACUCUUACAUAAAACAGUUUAAACGUGAUCUGUGGCUGCUAAUGAAGGUUGGUAAAGUCACUAGAGUAAUGAAAAUAAUUACCUAACUCAGAGCUUCUGUACAACCUCUUGGUGUUUAUUUUCAUCUAAUCUCUCUAAUUAUUUGUGUUACAAAGUGAGCAUUGCUUCAUCUGUACUAAUGAAGCCUUGGAUUGUUGGCAUCAGCUGCUGUGUUUCAGCAUUCAGCUGUUGUUCUCAAGUAAACAAACAAAGGUUAAAAAAACCUCAUCUGGGGAGUUAACAAAAAACAUAUUGCAGAAUCACUAAACGUUUACAUUUUGCUUUGAUGAGUAAUAUGCAACUGUUACUUUGGCACCAGAAAGACUGCAACCCGAUUAGAGCUCUGUAUGGAGCUGAUCCCAUUUGACUUUUGAGCCUGUGGUACUGCUACUGUGAAAAAUUAACCUUCACAAGAGCAUUUGGGUACAUCCUUGAUAUUCUUAAGUGGGAAGGCGAUCAAGAAAAAAAAAUCUAUAUGCAAUUAAAUACUUGUCAAUAUCUGUAUGAUAAUAUAGGUAUGCAAAGCAGAUUGUAAAAGGAAUCAACUAACUCAUGUGGGAGGAAUAAUGUAAUGGGAAUGUAUUGAUAAUCAAUACCCACCUCAUGUGAACAUAAAUAUUUUCUGUUAUGAUAUCAGAUACAAUUAUGUGGAAGAACAAUGUCAAAAUAAAUAAUUUAGAUAGCCCCAAAUUCCAGGGAUACAUGACAAUUUCAUUGAUAACUGUCAGAAAAAUGAUACCCAAACCACAAAUUAAAUGGCUCAUUUGUUUUAUUUUCAUGUAUCUGGAUCCUUUCCAACCAUCAGUUUUGUCCUAGAAUUGUUCUAAAUUUUAAUGCUUCUUUAAAAUUUUAGAUAUUUGGAGCUAUUAUAUACAAAAUGUGACAUUAGAGGAGUUUGACAGUAAAACUCUAUUUUUAUAGGUUGGUUUGGGAUCAAGUUUAUUCAGUAAAAGUUUUCUUGAAAAUUAGAAAUUGGCAAUUGAGCCUAACAAUUUUAUUGAAAAAAAUUUCAUUUAGUUUGAAUAAUAACUGAAGAUAAAACAUGCCAGUGUUCCUCCUUUUCUCUUUAUUAGUGAAUUAGGAUGCACACACACACACAAAUGCAUAAAGGCAUAUUAUCAUCUUUUAUAUCUCUUCCCCUCACUAUCUUAAAUAUUGGCAUUUACAUUAAAAUAUUAACUUGUUAGAAAAAGGAUUUUACUGUAAAACUACGUAGUCUACCUUUCAUAGUUUUCAUGAGAAUCAAAGGAAAUAAUGUUGAUGAAAGUAUUUUAAACACUGUAAAGUCGUUUAUACGUGUAAAAUGGAAGAGAGACGUGAAACAAGAUUGGCCAUGAGUUGAUGCUGAAACUGGGAUAUUACACAUGGGAGCUACUAAUAUUAUUGGACCUACUUAUGCAUGUUCCAAGUUUUUCAUAAUUAAAGGUUAAACUACAUUA
Molecule: long non-coding RNA, 3770 nt
Organism: Bubalus bubalis (water buffalo)
Lineage: Eukaryota; Metazoa; Chordata; Mammalia; Artiodactyla; Bovidae
Exons: 2
Source: RefSeq, a predicted model, not a curated record